CCUAAGGCGAGGCCGAAAGGCGUAGUCGAUGGGAAACAGGUUAAUAUUCCUGUACUUGGUGUUACUGCGAAGGGGGGACGGAGAAGGCUAUGUUGGCCGGGCGACGGUUGUCCCGGUUUAAGCGUGUAGGCUGGUUUUCCAGGCAAAUCCGGAAAAUCAAGGCUGAGGCGUGAUGACGAGGCACUACGGUGCUGAAGCAACAAAUGCCCUGCUUCCAGGAAAAGCCUCUAAGCAUCAGGUAACAUCAAAUCGUACCCCAAACCGACACAGGUGGUCAGGUAGAGAAUACCAAGGCGCUUGAGAGAACUCGGGUGAAGGAACUAGGCAAAAUGGUGCCGUAACUUCGGGAGAAGGCACGCUGAUAUGUAGGUGAAGUCCCU
RNAcentral lists this ribosomal RNA (380 nucleotides) under Staphylococcus argenteus. Its description in RNAcentral is "partial 23S ribosomal RNA". It matches the Rfam family "Bacterial large subunit ribosomal RNA", at positions 1390 to 1769 of the family's 2925-position model. The record is from RNAcentral. Lineage: Bacteria; Bacillati; Bacillota; Bacilli; Caryophanales; Staphylococcaceae.